Molecule: small nuclear RNA, 161 nt
Organism: Argiope bruennichi
Lineage: Eukaryota; Metazoa; Arthropoda; Arachnida; Araneae; Araneidae
Product: U1 spliceosomal RNA
Exons: 1
Source: RefSeq, a predicted model, not a curated record
AUACUUACUUGGCGUCGGAAAUGCCCCGAUCAUGAAGGGGGCUUUCCCGAUCUGAGGCCGUCCAUUGCACUUAGGACGGCUGACGUUCGCCACUUCUGCAAAGUGUAGUUGUUUGGGGCGCAUAAUUUUUGGACUCGGGACUGCGUUCGCGCUGCUCCCGG